GAAGUAGAAUAAUAGAUUGAACUUCUAAUUCAAUUUCCUAGUGGUGUAAUUCCAUUAAUACUUCU
RNAcentral lists this transfer RNA (65 nucleotides) under Dorcus tanakai. Its description in RNAcentral is "tRNA-Ser". Lineage: Eukaryota; Metazoa; Arthropoda; Insecta; Coleoptera; Lucanidae. The record is from RNAcentral.